GCAUUGGUGGUACAGUGGUGAGUAUAGCUGCCUUCCAAGCUGUUAGUCUGGGUUCAAUUCCCACCCAAUACA
Gopherus flavomarginatus (Mexican gopher tortoise) is the source of this 72-nucleotide non-coding RNA. The record is from the annotation of a RefSeq genome assembly. NCBI's taxonomy places the organism in Eukaryota, Metazoa, Chordata, Testudines, Testudinidae.